This is a non-coding RNA of Ailuropoda melanoleuca (giant panda), 83 nucleotides long. The record is from Rfam. NCBI's taxonomy places the organism in Eukaryota, Metazoa, Chordata, Mammalia, Carnivora, Ursidae.
GCCUGGGUGGCACAGUGGUUGAGCGUCUGCCUUCGGCUCAGGGCAUGAUCCCAGCGUUGUGGGAUCGAGCCCCACAUCAGGCU